Etheostoma cragini (Arkansas darter) is the source of this 110-nucleotide long non-coding RNA. RefSeq lists it as uncharacterized. NCBI's taxonomy places the organism in Eukaryota, Metazoa, Chordata, Actinopteri, Perciformes, Percidae. The transcript is spliced from 3 exons. The record is from RefSeq and is a predicted model, not a curated record.
UACACAGACUGUUUCUUGGCAGGGUAAAGUCCGUUUGAUGUCCGGUCCAACUGAUUGGCACAUUUGCGUUCUCAUAUGCAGCUCCUCCUUGUAAUGUCUAGCUAAUUUCU